CCUGCAUGCUGUUUGGCAGCAAAUUGCAACGUGGUAUUAGAUGUCCUUCCUAGUUUGUUGGAGAAAGAUUGCUCUAUUUUGAAUUUUCCGUAAAGGACUUCAGGAAUACUGUGCCUGACACACGGAAGCAGCAGGCCAACAUGAAUGCUGCCGGAGUUGCCGAGUUUGAGGAGUGUCAUCGAUAAUUCUAUGAAAAGAAUAAACUGAUAAACGAACGCCUAGAUCAGAUCGACCACCUUAUGCAGCAAAGAGCGCUGCUGCCGCAAGCCAGGCCAUGCGCCACGUCGCCCCUCGCGCAAUUUCCCCCACCCCCACUGCCAGAGGACUACGCUGCACUAUAGCAGAGCUACCUGAAUUACUGGGGCUUCCUGCUGCCGGGGGACUACACUACGCUAUGCAGGCAGCAGAGCCACAUGAAUUACUGGGCUUUCCCGCUGCCAGGGGACUACACUAUGCUAUGCAUGGAGCAGAGCCACCUGGAUUACUGUGCCUUCCCGCUGCUGGGGGACUACACUGCACAAUGCAAGCAGCAGGAGGUCUCAGCUCCGGAGUCCCAGCCCGAGGUCAACGUGGCGACCUCAGAGCCUCUGCCUGAGGUCAACAUGGCGACCUCAGAGAUCCAGCUGGAGACCUGCAAGGAGGUCUUGGCUGCCGAGGAGGCCGCCCUGCUGUCCUGCCCAGUGGAGAAAGUUGCCCUGCUGUCCUGUCCCGCUGAGGAGGCUGUCCUGCUGUCCUGUCCUGCCGAGGAAGCUGUCCCGCUGUCCUGUCCCACUGAGGAAGCUGUCCUGCUUUCCAGCCCCACAGAGGAUGUCUGUCCGAGCUCUAGCCCUGCAGAGGACGUCUCUCAGAGCUCCAGCCCCACAGAGGACGUCGUCCAGCGUUCCAGUCCCACUGAGGAUGUUGCCCAGCAUUCCAGUCCCGCUGAGGACGUCACCCUGAGCUCCAGCUGGAGAGCACGCGUGCAGGAGAUUACGUAAUGAGGACUGUUUCCUAUGGACACGUGCCUUUGUUUUGAUUUUCGGUAUACAGGUAUUGGUUGAUGUUUGAGGAUGUGUCAUUAUUGGUCUCAGCUGUCUGUGUUCAAGCGUGAUUAUGUUUGUUAUUUAAAGCCCUCGUGUUGCUGUACACUUCACGCAGUAUUAACUGAAUGAAUAAAUGUAGUGGUGAAUACGUUAAGUAUGCUAAGCGGUCGUGUUUUUGUGUCCUGUUCUUGUUUCAUGCCUCGAAUCUAGUUUCAUGUUU
Molecule: long non-coding RNA, 1242 nt
Organism: Ictalurus punctatus (channel catfish)
Lineage: Eukaryota; Metazoa; Chordata; Actinopteri; Siluriformes; Ictaluridae
Source: Ensembl